Long non-coding RNA from Selaginella moellendorffii, 502 nucleotides. RefSeq lists it as uncharacterized. The record is from RefSeq and is a predicted model, not a curated record. The transcript has 3 exons. Lineage: Eukaryota; Viridiplantae; Streptophyta; Lycopodiopsida; Selaginellales; Selaginellaceae.
GUACCGAGUUGCAGCGCUCCCUGCUCGUCCGGAGAAGACCCAUCAGAGUUGCAUCGCUCGCUCGCUCGCUCGCUCCUGCCGCAAACACCAGCGCCGCUCUUUGUCCACCCAGCCUUGGAUUGCCGCCUUGGAUUGAUUUGUUGGAACGCAAACCUCACUGUGAGGGGCCGCAAAAGAUAGCAGCGCGAUUGGUUUGGUGAGGAGCGGGUCGUGUGAGAAAGCGUGGACUUGAGAAGGUUCGUUGUGGUUCUCUCACAAGGCGCUUCCAAGGAGAGUUUUUCAAAGAACGCGGAAAGGAGCGAAAAGACGACCGAAUCGUGGCCGUCGGUGAUGCCCCGUGACGUCACGCGCGUUUUUGUGAUUCGCUCGGCGCUUGUGAGGUGGAAUGCGUCGCCCUCUUGCUGCAUUGUCGACGUUCUUUUCCAUUUUUCCAUCUGUUUUUCUAGGUGGCCAACCCGGCCCAGUCGCAAAGGAAUGAUACAAGAAAAACAUGGCCACUAAA